RNAcentral lists this ribosomal RNA (378 nucleotides) under uncultured bacterium. RNAcentral describes it as "bacterial SSU rRNA". It matches the Rfam family "Bacterial small subunit ribosomal RNA", at positions 524 to 898 of the family's 1533-position model. The record is from RNAcentral.
GACGGAGGGGGCAAGCGUUGUCCGGACUUACUGGGCGUAAAGCGCACGUAGGCGGUGCGGUGCGUCGGUGCUGAAAGCGCCGGGCUUAACCCGGCGAGGCGUGCCGAUACGACCGAACUCGAGGCAGGCAGAGGGUGGCGGAAUUCCGGGUGUAGUGGUGAAAUGCGUAGAGAUCCGGAGGAACGCCGGUGGGGAAGCCGGCCACCUGGGCCUGACCUGACGCUGAGGUGCGAGAGCGUGGGGAGCGAACCGGAUUAGAUACCCGGGUAGUCCACGCCGUAAACGAUGCCGGCUCGGUGUCUGACGCCUUUUGGGGUGUUGGGCGCCUUAGCUUACGCGGUAAGCCGGCCGCCUGGGGACUACGAGCGCAAGCUUAAA